CAUACCAUGCUGAAUAUACCGGUUCUCGUUAGAUCACUGAAGUCAAGCAUCAUUGGGCGCGGUCAGUACUUGGGUGGGUGACCACCUGGGAACACCGCGUGCCGUU
RNAcentral lists this ribosomal RNA (106 nucleotides) under Caerostris darwini. Lineage: Eukaryota; Metazoa; Arthropoda; Arachnida; Araneae; Araneidae. The record is from RNAcentral.